GACGAACGCUGGCGGCGUGCUUAACACAUGCAAGUCGAACGGAAAGGCCCCUUUGGGGGUCCUCGAGUGGCGAACGGGUGAGUAACACGUGAGUAACCUGCCCUUGACUUCGGGAUAACUUCAGGAAACUGGGGCUAAUACCGGAUAGGAAUCCUUGCUGCAUGGUGGGGGUUGGAAAGCUUCGGCGGGUUUGGAUGGACUCGCGGCUUAUCAGCUUGUUGGUGGGGUAGUGGCUUACCAAGGCUUUGGCGGGUAGCCGGCCUGAGGGGGCGACCGGCCACAUUGGGACUGAGAUACGGCCCAGACUCCUACGGGAGGCAGCAGUGGGGAAUAUUGCACAAUGGGCGGAAGCCUGAUGCAGCAACGCCGCGUGCGGGAGGACGGCCUUCGGGUUGUAAACCGCUUUCAGCAGGGGCGAAGCUUGUGGUGACGGUACCUGCAGAAGAAGCACCGGCUAACUACGUG
RNAcentral lists this ribosomal RNA (465 nucleotides) under uncultured bacterium. RNAcentral's name for it is "partial 16S ribosomal RNA". It matches the Rfam family "Bacterial small subunit ribosomal RNA", at positions 28 to 507 of the family's 1533-position model. The record is from RNAcentral.